This 254-nucleotide ribosomal RNA is filed under the name uncultured bacterium. Its description in RNAcentral is "partial 16S ribosomal RNA". It matches the Rfam family "Bacterial small subunit ribosomal RNA", at positions 333 to 604 of the family's 1533-position model. The record is from RNAcentral.
UAGGUCCUACGGGAGGCAGCAGUGGGGGAUAUUGCACAAUGGGGGGAACCCUGAUGCAGCGACGCCGCGUGGGUGAAGAAGCGCCUCGGCGCGUAAAGCCCUGUCAGCAGGGAAGAAAAUGACGGUACCUGAAGAAGAAGCCCCGGCUAACUACGUGCAAGCAGCGGCGGUAAUACGUAGGGGGCAAGCGUUAUCCGGAUUUACUGGGGGUAAAGGGGGCGCAGACGGCGAUGCAAGCCAGGAGUGAAAGCCGG